Molecule: long non-coding RNA, 350 nt
Filed under: Salmo salar (Atlantic salmon)
Lineage: Eukaryota; Metazoa; Chordata; Actinopteri; Salmoniformes; Salmonidae
Description: lncRNA (ENSSSAG00000109538.1, ENSSSAG00020063680.1, ENSSSAG00075013827.1)
Source: RNAcentral
CAGGUGUAGGCUUUACAGUGGAAUGCUUAUUUACGAGUCCAUUCCCAACAAUGCAGAGUUAAAAGAUGUGGAAUCACUGGGAAGCCAGGUGGAGAGAUGAUAUUUACCCAGCAUCUCUACUUCAUGACUGGCUGCACACAGGACACAGGACUGUCUAGGCAGCAUCUGCCCAGUGAAACAAGACCCAUUUCCUCAUCAUGAGAGAAGAUAAUUAGCAUAAUAUCCCUCUCUGUAAGGACUCACACCGGGUUUAUUCUCAUGCACUUGUUUCAUCCUCCCCGAAGAGAGACCACCCCUAAUGGAUACAGUCGCUGAGCCCAGGACCCACAUACCAAGCAUUUAUAAGAGCC